AUUGAACGCUGGCGGAAUGCUUUACACAUGCAAGUCGAGCGGCAGCGCGGGGGCAACCCUGGCGGCGAGCGGCGAACGGGUGAGUAACAUAUCGGAACGUACCCAGUCGUGGGGGAUAACUAUCCGAAAGGAUAGCCAAUACCGCAUACGUCCUGAGGGAGAAAGCGGGGGAUCGCAAGACCUCGCGCGAUUGGAGCGGCCGAUAUCGGAUUAGCUAGUUGGUGGGGUAAAGGCUCACCAAGGCGACGAUCCGUAGCGGGUCUGAGAGGACGACCCGCCACACUGGAACUGAGACACGGUCCAGACUCCUACGGGAGGCAGCAGUGGGGAAUUUUGGACAAUGGGGGCAACCCUGAUCCAGCCAUUCCGCGUGAGUGAAGAAGGCCUCGGUUGUAAG
Molecule: ribosomal RNA, 397 nt
Filed under: uncultured bacterium
Lineage: Bacteria
Description: bacterial SSU rRNA
Rfam family: Bacterial small subunit ribosomal RNA
Source: RNAcentral